Molecule: long non-coding RNA, 1850 nt
Organism: Gavialis gangeticus (Gharial)
Lineage: Eukaryota; Metazoa; Chordata; Crocodylia; Gavialidae
Exons: 3
Source: RefSeq, a predicted model, not a curated record
AAACCCCCCAGAGGUGGUGCAAGCACCUCCUCUGGACACCUGUGAGAACUUUUUGGAUGUUUAUCUCUCUGGGAUCCUCUGACCCCUGCUGACUUCCUGCCCCUUGGGCCGGGGGGCUGGACCCGAUGAUCUUACAAGGUCCCUUCCAGUCUUAAUGUCUAUGAAAGUAAAGGACAAAGGGGAAAAUAGUGACUAAUCUCAUAAGAAACCUUUUCAGUCCAAAGCAGGUGCAACUGUUUCCUGCAACCUCUGUUUUUGGGGUGGUUUUUUUUGUUUGUUUCCCCCUUCGCUACCCUGCUAGCUUAUAGUUCCUGUAUCUACAGAUUGAGUUGAACCGGAAGUAUGAGAACAUAACUUUAUGUAACAACUAUUUUGCAAAUGAGUUCGCUACAAUCAUCCCAUCCACUGUAGCCACUGUAACAGUUGUACUACCCUUGUAGACGUCCAGUUUCAUAGAGGAAAAAACUGUCUCCAGCCUAAACUAGACUUUUUUCUUGAUCAAAAACUCUAACCUAAUUUACUUAAUACAGAAAUUAUUUUCUUGGGAUACAAUGAGCCCACAAUCGGGCUGAGAUCCCAAACCUAGCAGAAAAAUUUAAAUUUUAAAUUACCACUGAAUGCUAAAAAGUCUAGAUGGCUACAUUUACCUUGCUUGCUUUUCAGCCUAUUGGAUUAUGGGAUGCAGACAUUAGGCAAGUGCCUUCCACAUCCUGGAAUUGGGAAAAGGAUUUGUGGAGGGGACAGCAAUUCUACUGAAACUUACUUAAAGGGCCUUCUCCUUCCUCAAACUUUUUUUUUCAGACUUAGUGCGUUUCUGUCCAUGUUUACAAAUCACAGUUGAGCAAUGCACUUAAUGCAAAUGGCUAUCAGAAGUAUCUUGUUGAAUAAGUUCCUUUCCAUGUAAGCAAUGAGACUUUGAGAUGUUUCAUGCUUUCUGGCAUAGGUUUGUUUUUGAUACACCUGCGUUGGUCACAACUUUUAAUUUUUAGAAACUUAUGACCUGCUUUAUUUUUUUGCACACUGAAUUUAAAAUAUGGAUUUAUGGGGCUUGAAAAACCAGAACAUUCUCCAGGUCUCAAAAAAAAAAAAAAAAUCUGAACUCAACCUUGCAAAGAGAAACCUGGGCAGCUGCCUUACUUGAAAAUAUGAUUGUGUUUAAUUUUGGAAGUUCCUAAAAGUGUGUUCUUAUUUUGUAAUCAACCUUCCUGUAUCUUAAUUUUUGCAAUUGCACAACUUCCCUGUCUUCAGCACUAUGUUCUCUCUCAUCCAAAAGCUGACUGCUGUUUUAACAACUGAAUGACUGCUGUUGUAGAUGUUGUAAAGUGUCUGUAAUUACAGACUGAUUUGCUUUAGAACAAGGAAUACAAACUGUGUGUGUAGCUGUUAAAACAGUGGAGCAUUUUCCUACUCGGGUGGGCAACAAUUUUAGGGUACAAGUUUUGCUUCUUUCUCCUUGUGUUUGAAGACGAUGGGAGGCUCGGGUUCAAAAAGUAACCCAACUUCAGCACGACCAUGGCUUCUGCCCAGCACGACGACUAGCACACCUACUCCAGCCAGCAUGACGACUAGCACACCUGCUGCAGUCCCAACAAUAGGAGCUAAAUGCUGUUCUGAUGAGUAAACACAACCUGUUUUUCUUCUGGGUUUUUUUCCAACGUGUUUUCUUCUGUUCUGCCUAGAUGUAAUUCUGCUGAAGUCCAUAGAAUUAAAUCAAGUCCGAGUCUCUGCUUUUCUAGCUCAAGUCUUUUCCUACUGCUGAGAAUUAAGUAGCUUAUCCUGUUUUCUCUUGCUUGUUCUCCAUAUAACUAUACCAGUUUGUAUUGCAGCUUGAAUAGGCAACGGUAAAGCUG